AUUGAACGCUGGCGGCAUGCUUUACGCAUGCAAGUCGAACGGUAGAGGGGGCAACCCCUUGAGGGUGGCGAACGGGUGAGUAAUGCAUCGGAACGUGCCCAGUCGUGGGGGAUAACGCAGCGAAAGCUGUGCUAAUACCGCAUACGAUCUCUGGAUGAAAGCGGGGGACCGAAAGGCCUCGCGCGAUUGGAGCGGCCGAUGUCAGAUUAGGUAGUUGGUGGGGUAAAGGCUCACCAAGCCAACGAUCUGUAGCUGGUCGGAGAGGACGACCAGCCACACUGGGACUGAGACACGGCCCAGACUCCUACGGGAGGCAGCAGUGGGGAAUUUUGGACAAUGGGCGCAAGCCUGAUCCAGCAAUGCCGCGUGCAGGAAGAAGGCCUUCGGGCUGUAAACUGCUUUUGUACGGAACGAAAAGGUCUGGGUUAAUACCCUGGGCACAUGACGGUACCGUAAGAAUAAGCACCGGCUAACUACGUGCCAGCAGCCGCCGUAA
RNAcentral lists this ribosomal RNA (496 nucleotides) under uncultured bacterium. RNAcentral describes it as "partial 16S ribosomal RNA". It matches the Rfam family "Bacterial small subunit ribosomal RNA", at positions 29 to 523 of the family's 1533-position model. The record is from RNAcentral.